GCGGAACGUAGUGUUGGAUAUAGAUAAAUAAAUUAAAUAUUUUUAUAGCAGUGCCAUCUACUGGCCGCUUUACUAUUUACUGUAUAGUGUGUUGCUUUCAACGUUUGUUUAACAAGUAGUCCUUAAAAUACAGCCAUUGGGUAAACAACGUUUUAUUUGUUCCUUAAAUCUCCCAUUUUUGUUCCUCAACUCUACAAUUUACGAACAGGUUAUGGGCCCAGACGAUUAAGUGGAAGAUUUUCUGGUCGUUCAAAUCAAAACAGUGUGUGUUCAUUCGAUAAAAAGUUAGUUAGUCGGUUUGUUGGUUAACAACGUGGUUAUUAACAGUAUCGAAAAUGGCGGUGAAUUAUCUUACAAGUGUGCCGCGUUUAACCGGUAGAGAUAACUACCAGGACUGGUCGUUCGCGGUUGAGAAUGUCUUUGUUCUAGAAGGACUAUCAAAGUGUAUUCAGGGAACUGAACAAGACACAACGCUUGUUGCCAAAGCCAAAGCUAAGUUAAUAUUGACUUUGGAUCCAUCCAUAUAUUUGCAUGUGAAAGAAGCUGAAACGGCGAAAGAUGUAUGGGAUAAGCUGAAAAAGUUAUUCGAAGACUCAGGUUUUUCGAGGAAAAUAGGAUUGCUUCGAACACUCAUAUCACUAAGGUUGGAAAAUUGCAGUUCCAUGGAAUCCUAUGUGAAUCAGGUGAUCGAAACUGCACAGAAGUUGAAUAGGACUGGUUUCCAAAUUGAUGACAUGUGGUUGGGAUCGCUUCUCCUAGCGGGACUUCCGGAACAGUAUACUCCAAUGUUACUGGCAAUUGAACAUUCGGGGAUAUCUAUUACCACUGAUGUAAUCAAAUCUAAAUUGCUAGAUAUGCAGAUAGACAGCACUAACAGUGAAAAGCAGACAGCUUUUAUGUCAAAGUCGAGUGAAGUUAGCACUAAGCAUGUCAAAAAAGUUAACAAGAAAAACAUAACCUGCUUCCGGUGUAAACAAAAAGGUCAUUAUAUGAAUAAGUGCCCUAGUGCUAAUAAUAAUGCGUUUAGUGCAACAUUCUUAAGUGGAAACUUUAAAUCUACAGAUUUUUAUGUCGAUUCUGGAUGCAGCACGCAUCUUACAGCGAGAAAAGAUUGGUUGACAAAUAUCCGAGAUGCAAGUUCGUCCAAUAUAACUGUGGCUAACAGUGAAAGUUUGGAAGUGAAAUGUGCUGGUGAUAUGAUGGUAACCACAAUUGUCGAUAAAAAGAGAUUAGAGAUACAACAGCAGAAGUUAAUAAGGAGAAAACCUUUAAUUGUUUUGAUGUAUCAUCCAAUGACAGGCUUCUAGCUGCUGGCACAGAUGUACUUGGGGGAGAUGCUUUUGUAUUAUUUUGGGAUAUAAGAAUUAACAAGCUGUUAGGAGGAUAUUGGCAAUCACACACUGAUGACAUUACUCAGGUUCGUUUUCAUCCAGACGAUAUGAAUAAAUUAAUAUCUGGAUCAACCGAUGGUCUCAUAAAUUUAUAUGAUUUGUCCCAGGAGUCAGAAGAUGAUGCCUUAAUAGACACCCUUAAUACCGAAUCUUCUGUAAACGAAUUACAGUGGUUCACCAAAAAUAACAAAGACUGUAUUAGCUGUGUGACCCAUACAUCUGACCUGCAGUUAUGGGAUUUGGACAAAGGUGAACCAUAUCAAUCAUUUAGUAGAGAAUACU
RNAcentral lists this unclassified non-coding RNA (1673 nucleotides) under Diabrotica virgifera virgifera (western corn rootworm). RNAcentral's name for it is "wD repeat-containing protein 89". Lineage: Eukaryota; Metazoa; Arthropoda; Insecta; Coleoptera; Chrysomelidae. The record is from RNAcentral.